Molecule: ribosomal RNA, 497 nt
Filed under: uncultured bacterium
Lineage: Bacteria
Description: partial 16S ribosomal RNA
Rfam family: Bacterial small subunit ribosomal RNA
Source: RNAcentral
GGUGAACGCUGGCGGCGUGCCUAAUACAUGCAAGUCGAGCGAACGGACGAGAAGCUUGCUUCUCUGAUGUUAGCGGCGGACGGGUGAGUAACACGUGGAUAACCUACCUAUAAGACUGGGAUAACUUCGGGAAACCGGAGCUAAUACCGGAUAAUAUUUUGAACCGCAUGGUUCAAAAGUGAAAGACGGUCUUGCUGUCACUUAUAGAUGGAUCCGCGCUGCAUUAGCUAGUUGGUAAGGUAACGGCUUACCAAGGCAACGAUGCAUAGCCGACCUGAGAGGGUGAUCGGCCACACUGGAACUGAGACACGGUCCAGACUCCUACGGGAGGCAGCAGUAGGGAAUCUUCCGCAAUGGGCGAAAGCCUGACGGAGCAACGCCGCGUGAGUGAUGAAGGUCUUCGGAUCGUAAAACUCUGUCAUUAGGGAAGAACAUAUGUGUAAGUAACUGUGCACAUCUUGACGGUACCUAAUCAGAAAGCCACGGCUAACUACGUG